UACAGAGGGUGCGAGCGUUAAUCGGAAUUACUGGGCGUAAAGCGUACGCAGGCGGCUUUGCAAGACAGGUGUGAAAUCCCCGGGCCUAACCUGGGAACUGCAUUUGUGACUGCAUAGCUAGAGUUUGUCAGAGGGGGGUGGAAUUCCACGUGUAGCAGUGAAAUGCGUAGAUAUGUGGAGGAACACCGAUGGCGAAGGCAGCCCCCUGGGAUGUGACUGACGCUCAUGUACGAAAGCGUGGGGAGCAAACAGG
RNAcentral lists this ribosomal RNA (253 nucleotides) under uncultured bacterium. RNAcentral describes it as "partial 16S ribosomal RNA". It matches the Rfam family "Bacterial small subunit ribosomal RNA", at positions 524 to 776 of the family's 1533-position model. The record is from RNAcentral.